UUCAAUUGAAGUUCUCAACUAGAAAAGGAGAAAACACAAACCCUUACAUACCCAUUGAAUAUUAAUACGCUUAUCAAUGUGACUACAAAUAAAUCAAAACAAAUGAUUAAUAUCGUAAAAAUUUACAGAGAGGUUUUCACAGGUGAGAACAGAUAGGGAAAAAUGGCGAGCAAACAGGUCCCAGCCACAAGACAGAACAAUAACUGCAGGGCGACUUACCGGAGGUGGAAAUGAGAAGACAUAGGCGGGGCGAGAGUAAAAAUGAACAGCAGUCUGCAACCAGCAAUUGAACGAUGUGAGAGAGAAUAAAGCAGCGCGAUCAUGGAUUGAACCAGUCUCUGAUCGACUGGAUCACUGAUUAAAUAGGAAAAGGGAAAGGCUAUCAGAGGAGGAAAGAAGGGUUUGGCAGAAAAAAAGCUAAAGGG
Molecule: long non-coding RNA, 425 nt
Filed under: Olea europaea subsp. europaea
Lineage: Eukaryota; Viridiplantae; Streptophyta; Magnoliopsida; Lamiales; Oleaceae
Source: RNAcentral